This is a long non-coding RNA of Balaenoptera acutorostrata (minke whale), 4033 nucleotides long. RefSeq lists it as uncharacterized. Lineage: Eukaryota; Metazoa; Chordata; Mammalia; Artiodactyla; Balaenopteridae. The transcript is spliced from 4 exons. The record is from RefSeq and is a predicted model, not a curated record.
UUAGGAGUUAACGGGCGCCCUCUGGCGGCUAUGAUGGUAACUGGCUGUCGUGGGGGAGGGAAGCCCAGAGCCCUGGGAACCAAAGUGGGGGCAACUGCGAGGGCCCAGAUGAGUGACCAUCGGGAUGAGAAAUGGAUAUGUGUUGCUCACGCUUAUCCCAGCACUUCAGGGACAGCCCUGGCACCCCCAGCCCCCAGCCAAGAAACACAUAACAGCAGCUAGAUUCAUUUUUAAUGUCAUCCGAAAACUCAGAAUAGGCCAGCGGGCCUCUGGGCUCAGCAGCUGUGGAGGAGGGCCUCCCCACACCUCCUAAGGCAGGUCACUGCAAGAAGGCACUCAUGAGGGGGACUUAAGCCCCUUUUCUAUUUCUUCAUAUAAAAUGGGAGGGGGGAGGGGCGGGAGCCUGGAGACAGGGAGACCAUCCCUCCCAGCCUAUGGGUAAAGGAAAAGGCUGGGAGCCAGCCAGCCCUUAAGAAACUGCUAAUUCAGGGACUGCCGUCUCUCUCACACACUCACACACACACACACACACACACAUCCCAUCUUCCCUCUCUCUCUCUAGAGUCCGCAGUCGGGGCCUGGGGAGAGGACGGCCCGUGUUCAAACCCCCACUUCUUCUCCCUUCUAGCUGGUACGAAGUUGAUAAUCUGCACGGAAACAAUGAGCGGGGACCAUCUCAGAAUUGGGGAAAGGAGACAAAGGGACAGGCCCCCCACCCAAAUCCAGCCCCUUCCCCAGCGCUCAUGAUCAACCCUACAGCUUUAUCAUCCCCGAAGGAUAGCCAUGUGCACACGUAGGUGGCUCUCUGAUUUAUUCUCUGCCUUGCCCUCAAGAAGCAGGGGCAGGUCCCCCAGAUCCCCCGCCCAUCCCCAGUGCUCACCGGAAAAGACUUGAUACUCCAGAUAACGACGUUCUUCUCUGGCAUGUACUUGGCACUGCCUACGCUGGUCUUGAAGCGUGGGGAGUCGGCAUCGCUGGGUACCGGCACAGAUAUCUCCACGCUGUUGGCCACUGACUGCUUCUUAAACUGCCCCUUGGCCUGUCAGUGGAGAGAACAUGGGGCAUGAAGAAUUCACUCAUGCAAAUAUUCACCAAGGCCUUUUCAUGUGCCAGCUCAUCAAGAGCCCUGAAGUGGAGACCAUAAUCCAGCCUAUUUUCCAGAUGAGGAAACAGAGGCACAGAGAAGUUAAAGCAUUUGCCUGGAGACACACAGCCAACAAGUGGCAGAGCCGGGGUCCACACCCAGGAGAGACUCCAGAGGUCCUGAUUUUGUUUUUUUGUUUUGUUUUUUGGCUGCACACACAGCAUGCAAGAUCUUAGUUCCCCGACCAGGGAUGGAACUCACGCCCCCUGCAGUGGAAGCGCAAAGUCUUAACCACUGGACCACCAGGGAAGUCCCCCAGAGGCCCUGCUUUUGGUGCCUUCCGUUUGGAAAGUGUCAUACACCUUUGCCUGGUUCAAAAGAUCCCUCAUUUGAGCAGCCCCUAGGGCAGGCUCUGCUCUCAGCCCACUUCACAGACAAGAAAGUGAAGGCUCCUGGCCAAGACUCACAGCCGAAGCUUCUGACUGCAAAGCCUGAUGGGUCCUCAGCCCGUCACAGAGUUUUCAUUUGAAAGCUGACAUUUACUGACCCCCUACCAUGUGCUGGGCCCUGUGCCAAGCAGUUAGCCCUCUCACUAAUUCUCUAAAGUAGGAGUCAUUCCUAAGGUCCAUUUUACAGAUGAGAAGACUGAGGCCCAGAGAGAAAGAGCUUUUGCCCGAGUCACGUAGUUGAUAACCAGCACAGCAGGGAUUUGACCCAAGCCUGUGUUUUCAAUCCUCACAUGUUCUCCUUACUGAUGUUACAACAUUAUAGCCAGAUCUAGAUCUGUGUGACUUGGGACAAGCUUUUAACACAAGGACUCUAAGUGUCCAUGUGCAGUGACUAGCAUUAUGAUGACUGCUCUUAUUUAUGAAUUUGGUGGUGGUGGGGAAUAUAUGAGAGGUGGGAUUGGGGCCAGAGGACCUGGAGGUAAAACAAGGCAGGGGGUGUUCUUUCUGGAAGGCACCAGCUUUAAGGCCCUUUCCACUUUCCCUGCCUGCAGAGACGGGGACACUGGGGAUGUCAACACCCCCGCCCCCCGCCCCGUGACCGUCCACUCCACAACCCAGCUCCCCGAAGACUCUAAGACUGGGGAACAAAGUUAAAUCUGAGAACACAGACUCUUGAGCCAGGCAGACCCAAGUUCAACGUGCCCGCUCCCUUCCUAGAUGAAUGACAUCUUAAUUCUUCUGGGCCUCAGUUUCCCCAUCUGUAAAAGGGGCUAACUAUAUGCUCUGGAAAAGCUCUUGCUUGGGGCACUGGGAAACAAGCACAGGGCUAUUCAAGGCAAGGUGAACCACAAUAGCCAGGAACUGAAAAAAACCCAUGCAAGAGACGGGACAGAAGAUUCUCACGGUGGAAUAUUCUACAGCCACAGAAAUGGAUGCACUAAGCUCUGGCUGCUGGGAUUCCUCUUAAAAAUCCACGUUACCUGAACAAAGCAAAUUAUACAAAAAGUCAUACAGCUCCAGUCCAUGGAUAUAAAGGGCCCACCUUGACCAUGAUCUCCACGCGGCUGUGGGAGAAUUUCUCAAUGACAGAUUCAAUCCAGAUCAGCGGCUUGACCUACAGACAGAGGAAGAGGGAGUUCUCCGAGGCUCUGGGGUCAACUCUCACCCCUUGCCAGGGGCUUCACCCUGCCUUACCUGGGUGCUGAGGCGGUAGGACAUGAGCUCGAAGUCACCGUCGGGCGGAAUGAAGGAGAUGGUACGGUCGUUGUCGAAGCGAGACAGCCGCACACACUGGUGGAAUUUCACAUCCUCCAGUUCCACGGACUUGUUCUUGCUCCCUGAAACUCGGAGCCGAGUUAGCAGCGUGAUCCUGGAGCCUGGGGCGACCCUGGAGCCCGGGGCACGGUCCCUAUCCUUGUCUUCCCUUUCUACCGCUACGAUCACCCCCAUUUAACAGAUGAGGAAACUGAGGCCCGGAGUGGAUGAGUAACUUGCCCAGGGUCACCCAGCUGGCCAGGAGCGGAGCUAGGAUCUGAACUCCGGGAAUCAGGCUCUUGCUGCCAGGUUGUUAAAUAUGAUGCUAUUCUGUCUCCUACUGCCGCUAGAAUGUCAGAUCCAUGAGGGCAGGGAUUUUUUUCUUCACUAUGGUGUCCUUGCGCCUGGCACUCAAUAAUGAAGCAGUUGUUUGUGCAAGAAACCAGCAGCUGCAGUACUGGUCAUAACCAGAAGAGGGCGGGCGAGUGCUAUUUCAGAACUGACUGCAAGUCUCUCGGUACCACCCACCCGUGAUGGGACGAAGUCUCAGGCUCCCGCUUGCGCCCCCUUCCAGAAACUUACGGCCAGUGAGCUCGAAGAGCACGCGGUCAUUGAGGCCCAGCCUCAGCUCUGGCAUUCCCGACAGAAACACUUUGAGCUUGAUGGUGCCCACGAUCUCACUCAGCAGGACACUGCCGUUGGCGUUGACCUAAGGAUGCACACAUGGGGGGGUCAACAGGCAUAGGGCCCACUCUCCUGCCCUAAGGCCGUGGCAGGGGUGGGGAAGAGGUGUAGGGGCUCACCAGCAGGUUGACGGACUCUAUGACAUCGAUGAAGACUUCGUUCUUCUUGUAUUUGAUGCCCUCCGAGCGCCAGGACACAGCAUUGGUGACAGUGGGUGGCACUCGUGACUUGCCCGUCUCCAGCUUGUUGCCCUGCUGCGUGAUGUAUCUGGCAGGAAGGCAGGGAGAUGAGCAGGAUUUUGCUGUCCGUGGUCUGUGGGAAGCCGAAGUCCAUGAGCUCAUCCAGCAGCUCGUAGACGAUGACGAAGUUGUCUCGAAUGCUUUCCUCCUCCAGCUCCUUGAAGUAUUCAGAGAAUACCUGCAGGUUCAGGGAGACCGACAUCCACAGAGGUGUGGCUGGUGUAGCUGUGGGCUGAGUCCCCACUCACCCAGCCAGCCACCCAACAAGCAACUACUGAGCGCCUACUGUAUACCACUGUCGGUAUAUUAAUGGUGAACAAAGC